UGUGAACUCGAAGAGUAGGGCGGGACACGUGGUAUCCUGUCUGAAUAUGGGGGGACCAUCCUCCAAGGCUAAAUACUCCUGACUGACCGAUAGUGAACCAGUACCGUGAGGGAAAGGCGAAAAGAACCCCGGCGAGGGGAGUGAAAAAGAACCUGAAACCGUGUACGUACAAGCAGUGGGAGCACCUUCGGGUGUGACUGCGUACCUUUUGUAUAAUGGGUCAGCGACUUAUAUUCUGUAGCAAGGUUAACCGUAUAGGGGAGCCGCAGGGAAACCGAGUCUUAACUGGGCGUUAAGUUGCAGGGUAUAGACCCGAAACCCGGUGAUCUAGCCAUGGGCAGGUUGAAGGUUGGGUAACACUAACUGGAGGACCGAACCGACUAAUGUUGAAAAAUUAGCGGAUGACUUGUGGCUGGGGGUGAAAGGCCAAUCAAACCGGGAGAUAGCUGGUUCUCCCCGAAAGCUAUUUAGGUAGCGCCUCGUGAACUCAUCUUCGGGGGUAGAGCACUGUUUCGGCUAGGGGGUCAUCCCGACUUACCAACCCGAUGCAAACUACGAAUACCGAAGAAUGUUAUCACGGGAGACACACGGCGGGUGCUAACGUCCGUCGUGAAGAGGGAAACAACCCAGACCGCCAGCUAAGGUCCCAAAGUCAUGGUUAAGUGGGAAACGAUGUGGGAAGGCACAGACAGCCAGGAUGUUGGCUUAGAAGCAGCCAUCAUUUAAAGAAAGCGUAAUAGCUCACUGGUCGAGUCGGCCUGCGCGGAAGAUGUAACGGGGCUAAACCAUGCACCGAAGCUGCGGCAGCGACACUAUGUGUUGUUGGGUAGGGGAGCGUUCUGUAAGCCUGCGAAGGU
Molecule: ribosomal RNA, 857 nt
Filed under: Klebsiella pneumoniae subsp. pneumoniae
Lineage: Bacteria; Pseudomonadati; Pseudomonadota; Gammaproteobacteria; Enterobacterales; Enterobacteriaceae
Description: bacterial LSU rRNA
Rfam family: Bacterial large subunit ribosomal RNA
Source: RNAcentral